UUUCGGACAACGGAAGGGAAUGCUUAGUGGCGGACUGGUGAGUAACGCGUGAGGAACCUGCCUUCCAGAGGGGGACAACAGUUGGAAACGACUGCUAAUACCGCAUGAUACGUUGGAGCCGCAUGACUCCGACGUCAAAGAUUUAUCGCUGGAAGAUGGCCUCGCGUCUGAUUAGCUAGUUGGUGAGGUAACGGCCCACCAAGGCGACGAUCAGUAGCCGGACUGAGAGGUUGGCCGGCCACAUUGGGACUGAGAUACGGCCCAGACUCCUACGGGAGGCAGCAGUGGGGAAUAUUGGGCAAUGGACGCAAGUCUGACCCAGCAACGCCGCGUGAAGGAAGAAGGCUUUCGGGUUGUAAACUUCUUUUAAGGGGGAAGAGCAGAAGACGGUACCCCUUGAAUAAGCCACGGCUAACUACGUGCCAGCAGCCGCGGUAAUACGUAGGUGGCAAGCGUUGUCCGGAUUUACUGGGUGUAAAGGGCGUGCAGCCGGAGAGACAAGUCAGAUGUGAAAUCCACGGGCUCAACCCGUGAACUGCAUUUGAAACUGUUUCCCUUGAGUGUCGGAGAGGUUAUCGGAAUUCCUUGUGUAGCGGUGAAAUGCGUAGAUAUAAGGAAGAACACCAGUGGCGAAGGCGGAUUACUGGACGAUAACUGACGGUGAGGCGCGAAAGCGUGGGGAGCAA
This 686-nucleotide ribosomal RNA is filed under the name uncultured bacterium. RNAcentral's name for it is "bacterial SSU rRNA". It matches the Rfam family "Bacterial small subunit ribosomal RNA", at positions 73 to 771 of the family's 1533-position model. The record is from RNAcentral.